UACAGAGAGUGCAAGCGUUAAUCAGAAUUACUGGGCGUAAAGCGCGCGUAGGUGGAUUGUUAAGUCGGAUGUGAAAGCCCUGGGCUUAACCUGGGAAUUGCAUCCGAUACUGGCAAUCUAGAGUAUGGUAGAGGGAAGUGGAAUUUCCGGUGUAGCGGUGAAAUGCGUAGAUAUCGGAAAGAACACCAGUGGCGAAGGCGGCUUCCUGGACCAAUACUGACACUGAGGUGCGAAAGCGUGGGGAGCAAACAGG
This 253-nucleotide ribosomal RNA is filed under the name uncultured bacterium. RNAcentral describes it as "partial 16S ribosomal RNA". It matches the Rfam family "Bacterial small subunit ribosomal RNA", at positions 524 to 776 of the family's 1533-position model. The record is from RNAcentral.